RNAcentral lists this ribosomal RNA (420 nucleotides) under bacterium. RNAcentral's name for it is "partial 16S ribosomal RNA". It matches the Rfam family "Bacterial small subunit ribosomal RNA", at positions 355 to 776 of the family's 1533-position model. The record is from RNAcentral.
UGGGGGAUAUUGCACAAUGGGCGAAAGCCUGAUGCAGCGACGCCGCGUGGGGGAUGAAGGCUUUCGGGUUGUAAACCUCUUUCGCUAUCGAACAAGGCCCGCUUAGGGUGGGUUGAGGGUAGGUGGAGAAGAAGCGCCGGCUAACUACGUGCCAGCUGCCGCGGUAAUACGUAGGGCGCGAGCGUUGUCCGGAAUUAUUGGGCGUAAAGGGCUUGUAGGCGGCUUGUUGCGCCUGCUGUGAAAACGCGGGGCGUAACUUCGCGCGUGCAGUGGGUACGGGCAGGCUUGAGUGUGGUAGGGGUGACUGGAAUUCCAGGUGUAGCGGUGGAAUGCGCAGAUAUCUGGAGGAACACCGAUGGCGAAGGCAGGUCACUGGGCCAUUACUGACGCUGAGGAGCGAAAGCAUGGGUAGCGAACAGG